GUGGGGAAUCUUGCGCAAUGGACGAAAGCCUGACGCAGCCAUGCCGCGUGAAUGAUGAAGGUCUUAGGAUUGUAAAAUUCUUUCACCGGGGACGAUAAUGACGGUACCCGGAGAAGAAGCCCCGGCUAACUUCGUGCCAGCAGCCGCGGUAAUACGAAGGGGGCUAGCGUUGCUCGGAAUUACUGGGCGUAAAGGGCGCGUAGGCGGACAGUUUAGUCAGAGGUGAAAGCCCAGGGCUCAACCUUGGAAUUGCCUUUGAUACUGGCUGUCUUGAGUACGGGAGAGGUGAGUGGAACUCCGAGUGUAGAGGUGAAAUUCGUAGAUAUUCGGAAGAACACCAGUGGCGAAGGCGACUCACUGGCCCGUUACUGACGCUGAGGCGCGAAAGCGUGGGGAGCAAACAGGAUUAGAAACCCCUGUAGUCC
This 425-nucleotide ribosomal RNA is filed under the name uncultured bacterium. Its description in RNAcentral is "bacterial SSU rRNA". It matches the Rfam family "Bacterial small subunit ribosomal RNA", at positions 354 to 796 of the family's 1533-position model. The record is from RNAcentral.